RNAcentral lists this ribosomal RNA (496 nucleotides) under uncultured bacterium. RNAcentral's name for it is "partial 16S ribosomal RNA". It matches the Rfam family "Bacterial small subunit ribosomal RNA", at positions 28 to 506 of the family's 1533-position model. The record is from RNAcentral.
GAUGAACGCUGGCGGCGUGCCUAAUACAUGCAAGUCGAGCGAACGGACGAGAAGCUUGCUUCUCUGAUGUUAGCGGCGGACGGGUGAGUAACACGUGGAUAACCUACCUAUAAGACUGGGAUAACUUCGGGAAACCGGAGCUAAUACCGGAUAAUAUUUUGAACCGCAUGGUUCAAAAGUGAAAGACGGUCUUGCUGUCACUUAUAGAUGGAUCCGCGCUGCAUUAGCUAGUUGGUAAGGUAACGGCUUACCAAGGCAACGAUGCAUAGCCGACCUGAGAGGGGGAUCGGCCCACCGGAAACUGGAAACGGGUCCGACCCCCCAGGGGGGGAGGGGGUGGGAAUUCUGCCGCAAGGGGCGAAAGCCUAACGGGGCAACCCCGGGUGGGGGAGGAGGGGCUCCGGUUCGUAAAACUCUGUUUUUAGGGAAAAAAAAAUUUGUAAGUAACGGUGAACAUUUUGACGGAACCAAAUAAAAAAGCCCCGGCUAACUACGG